UACGUAGGGUGCGAGCGUUGCCCGGAUUUAUUGGGCGUAAAGAGCGUGUAGGCGGCUUUACAGGUCCGUUGUGAAAACUCGAGGCUCAACCUCGAGACGCCGGUGGAAACCGUAAAGCUAGAGUCCGGAAGAGGAGAGUGGAAUUCCUGGUGUAGCGGUGAAAUGCGCAGAUAUCAGGAAGAACACCCGUGGCGAAGGCGGCUCUCUGGGACGGUACUGACGCUGAGACGCGAAAGCGUGGGGAGCGAACAGG
RNAcentral lists this ribosomal RNA (253 nucleotides) under uncultured bacterium. Its description in RNAcentral is "partial 16S ribosomal RNA". It matches the Rfam family "Bacterial small subunit ribosomal RNA", at positions 524 to 776 of the family's 1533-position model. The record is from RNAcentral.